RNAcentral lists this ribozyme (77 nucleotides) under Crocodylus porosus (Australian saltwater crocodile). Its description in RNAcentral is "Mammalian CPEB3 ribozyme (ENSCPRG00005019191.1)". It matches the Rfam family "Mammalian CPEB3 ribozyme". Rfam says of the family: The mammalian CPEB3 ribozyme is a self cleaving RNA located in the second intron of the CPEB3 gene which belongs to a family of genes regulating messenger RNA polyadenylation. This ribozyme is highly conserved and found only in mammals. The record is from Rfam by way of RNAcentral. Lineage: Eukaryota; Metazoa; Chordata; Crocodylia; Crocodylidae.
AGUUGCAAGUUUGAGGCCAUAGCAGAAGCACUCAUAGAGUAACCCUGUCAGCUUCCAAUGAAUCUGCAAAUUCUGCU